This 705-nucleotide ribosomal RNA is filed under the name uncultured Bacteroidales bacterium. RNAcentral describes it as "bacterial SSU rRNA". It matches the Rfam family "Bacterial small subunit ribosomal RNA", at positions 54 to 748 of the family's 1533-position model. Lineage: Bacteria; Pseudomonadati; Bacteroidota; Bacteroidia; Bacteroidales. The record is from RNAcentral.
CAUGCAAGUCGAGGGGCAGCAUGGUCUUAGCUUGCUAAGGCCGAUGGCGACCGGCGCACGGGUGAGUAACACGUAUCCAACCUGCCGUCUACUCUUGGACAGCCUUCUGAAAGGAAGAUUAAUACAAGAUGGCAUCAUGAGUCCGCAUGUUCACAUGAUUAAAGGUAUUCCGGUAGACGAUGGGGAUGCGUUCCAUUAGAUAGUAGGCGGGGUAACGGCCCACCUAGUCUUCGAUGGAUAGGGGUUCUGAGAGGAAGGUCCCCCACAUUGGAACUGAGACACGGUCCAAACUCCUACGGGAGGCAGCAGUGAGGAAUAUUGGUCAAUGGGCGAGAGCCUGAACCAGCCAAGUAGCGUGAAGGAUGACUGCCCUAUGGGUUGUAAACUUCUUUUAUAGAGGAAUAAAGUCGGGUAUGCAUACCCGUUUGCAUGUACUUUAUGAAUAAGGAUCGGCUAACUCCGUGCCAGCAGCCGCGGUAAUACGGAGGAUCCGAGCGUUAUCCGGAUUUAUUGGGUUUAAAGGGAGCGUAGGUGGACUGGUAAGUCAGUUGUGAAAGUUUGCGGCUCAACCGUAAAAUUGCAGUUGAUACUGUCAGUCUUGAGUACAGUAGAGGUGGGCGGAAUUCGUGGUGUAGCGGUGAAAUGCUUAGAUAUCACGAAGAACUCCGAUUGCGAAGGCAGCUCACUGGACUGCAACUGACACUG